CCAGACUCCUACGGGAGGCAGCAGUGGGGGAUAUUGCACAAUGGGGGAAACCCUGAUGCAGCGACGCCGCGUGGGUGAAGAAGUAUUUCGGUAUGUAAAGCCCUAUCAGCAGGGAAGAAAGAAGACGGUACCUGACUAAGAAGCCCCGGCUAACUACGUGCCAGCAGCCGCGGUAAUACGUAGGGGGCAAGCGUUAUCCGGAUUUACUGGGUGUAAAGGGAGCGUAGACGGCGAUGCAAGUCUGAAGUGAAAGGCGGGGGCCCAACCCCCGGACUGCUUUGGAAACUGUAUGGCUGGAGUGCAGGAGAGGUAAGUGGAAUUCCUAGUGUAGCGGUGAAAUGCGUAGAUAUUAGGAGGAACACCAGUGGCGAAGGCGAUUUGCUGGACUGUAACUGACACUGAGGCACGAAAGCGUGGGGAGCAAACAGGAUUAGAUACCCUAGUA
Molecule: ribosomal RNA, 445 nt
Filed under: uncultured bacterium
Lineage: Bacteria
Description: bacterial SSU rRNA
Rfam family: Bacterial small subunit ribosomal RNA
Source: RNAcentral